This is a long non-coding RNA of Musa acuminata subsp. malaccensis (wild Malaysian banana), 1845 nucleotides long. RefSeq lists it as uncharacterized. NCBI's taxonomy places the organism in Eukaryota, Viridiplantae, Streptophyta, Magnoliopsida, Zingiberales, Musaceae. The record is from RefSeq and is a predicted model, not a curated record.
AAUGGUUGCGAUAUAUGUUUGUAGUUGUUGUUUCUAACGGUGUGUAAAUGGUUCUGCCCUCUUUUGUGUCUUUCCGUCUUUUUCCUUCCUCGUUCCAUGUUGGUAGGUUUAUGUGCUAAUUUCUUUCGAAAUUUGAUCUUGCUUGUGGGCCUUCUUUGAUAGCUAUGGCCUGUUUUGUUUAGCUUUACAGAUGAAGCCUCGAUGUACGCUGUUCUCUUUGACAAGCAGUCGUUGGAGAGCUGUGUGCUACAUUUUAUAGAGAUAGUCUGACAUGUACUGGUAGCAGACUCUGUAGGUUUUUGUGUUGGGUUUUAACUGCUUAUGUACCCAUAUUGAGUUGAACUGAGAUGGAAAGGCCAGUCAAUUCCAACUGGCUGUUCUAUCUAAAUUUGUAAGAGUUCAACCGAGAUGUUGAAUCAUGGAAGAUAAUAAAAGAUGAAAAUUGCCCUUAGUUUUGAUGUCACUGAAAGUAGAUUAAAAAUUUCAGUAUAAAUGUGGUAUCUCGGGAUACACAUUCAACACUAGAUAUGUUGAUGUAAUUUGUAAAUGUAUUAUAAGUGUGGGUUCUGGUAAGGAUCAAUCUUCACAAAUUUAAAUUAGGAAAUACAUUUAGUUAAGAAAAAGGUUGGGUUGGCUUUGACAACUCUGAUUUUGGCUGAAAAUAAGCAUAUGACAUGUAUCCUUUUUUUUAUUUAACUGCUAUAAUACUUUUAAAAAUGAGGGCCAACAAAAUUGUACAUGUUGGUAUUUUAACUCUCACCAAUCUUUAAUUUUUACAAUUAAUUAUUUUAAGGAAAUUUUUGUUGUAAUGUACUAAGUGAUGGUUUUUUCUUUAUCAACUGUCUUUUUUCAUGUGCUUAAAUGAACAUCAUAAUACACACUACUUAAAUGGGGUUACUUUUGUCUUUCUAUUCUAUGCCAUCUCAGAGAUAAACAAAGAUUAUGUGAUGGUCAAAAAUGCAUAUUACUUUAUUUUUGUUGGUUUUUAUUUCAGCCAAGAACAGCGUAUGAAGUAUCAUUCAGUUCUGUCCAAGAUUUUUAAGGCUUACAAGAUAAAGAUUCCUGGAAAUUCAGUGCUGAGGCAUCUAUGAAUUAAGCUUAAGCAUCGUAACCCCACUUCAGCUACUUUUGUUUUUUGAAUCUUAUGUCUAUCUCAUCUUUUUCACUCUCCCUAGAGUCUCAACUUCACCCUCCAGAAAAUCUCGCAUGGGCUAAAUUGGGAGAGAUUAAGUGAUUAUAUUUGGUAUGGAUUUGAAAUAUUGCCUUUAUGGUUACAUAUGGGAUAGGCUAUUGGCUCCCCGGGCCCUAUUUGCAUGAGGUCUUCGUAAUGCUGUGUAGAUCCACAAUCAUGCCAGAAUUGUGACAGGUGGCUUUUGAUGAGUUUAGGUAACAGAUGGACAUAAGGUGUUUUAUGACAUAAUGGACACAAGAUCAUCCAUCUCUACUCCGUUUUUACAUUGGGGGAGAUGGAAACUCUGUGAGCCCACCACUGCAAUGCUUGAUGGAUGUCCAAUUGUUUCUUGUUCAAGUUGUCCAACAUUGAUUGUGCCCCCUCUCAACUCACAGGAUCACAGCAAAAUCCUUCUUUGCUACAAGUAUGCCACUCAUAAGGAUCAAUGGAAGCUCUACAAAUGGAAUUAUGAAGCUCGGAACGCAAUUUAGGAGCUUCUUCUGAUGAACAGUGAGUUAAGUCAGGACAUGAAGCAAUUUCUUUUUUCCUUAAGAUAAAUUCCAUAAGAUAUCAAAGAAAGCUGCACUCAUGUAUGUGGACAAGUGGUGCUCGAGCACUCAUUUUCCAGAAGAUGUUGUAGAUGUUUGUUAAUUUACAUCAUUAUUUUAUGAAAA